This is a small nucleolar RNA of Octodon degus (degu), 201 nucleotides long. Its record names the gene SNORA73. It matches the Rfam family "Small nucleolar RNA SNORA73 family". Rfam says of the family: U17 (SNORA73A and SNORA73B) also known as E1 belongs to the H/ACA class of small nucleolar RNAs (snoRNAs). Lineage: Eukaryota; Metazoa; Chordata; Mammalia; Rodentia; Octodontidae. The record is from Ensembl.
CCAACAUGGAUACCCCAGGAGGUCACGCUCCCCAGGCUCUGUCCAUGGUCUAGGGGAGCAUAGGGCUCUGCCCCAUGGUGUGCAAUCUCUUUCCACAACAUUAGAGAAGAAGCUGGGCCUCGUGCCUGCACCUGCAUAUCUCUACAACUUCUCAGAGUCCUUUGGCAAUGACUAAGGAGACAAACCAUGCAGAAAACAAUG